RNAcentral lists this long non-coding RNA (347 nucleotides) under Rattus norvegicus (Norway rat). Its description in RNAcentral is "long non-coding RNA NONRATT007796". Lineage: Eukaryota; Metazoa; Chordata; Mammalia; Rodentia; Muridae. The record is from RNAcentral.
GGACAUCAACUCUCCACAGUAGAGACUGACGCUUGUCCUAAUUUGCUUUGUUGUUUGUUUGCUGCGAUCAACACCAUGGCCAAAAGUAACCUGGGGUGGAAAGGGUUUAUUUCACUUAGUGACUUAUAGUAAAUCAUUGAAGGAAGUCAGGAACUCAAGGCAGGAACAUGGAGACAGGAGCUCAUGCAGAGGCCAUGGAGGGGUGCUGCUUACUGGCUUGCUCACUAUGGCUUGCUCAGUCUGCUUUCUUAAAGAACCCAGGACCACUUCUCAGAUGACUCAAGUUUGUGUCAAGUUGGCGAAGAAGAAGAAGAAGAAGAAGAAGAAGAAGAAGAAGAAGAAGAAGA